UACGAAGGGGGCUAGCGUUGCUCGGAAUCACUGGGCGUAAAGCGCACGUAGGCGGCUUCUUAAGUCAGGGGUGAAAUCCUGGAGCUCAACUCCAGAACUGCCUUUGAUACUGAGAGCUUGAGUCCGGGAGAGGUGAGUGGAACUGCGAGUGUAGAGGUGAAAUUCGUAGAUAUUCGCAAGAACACCAGUGGCGAAGGCGGA
This 201-nucleotide ribosomal RNA is filed under the name uncultured bacterium. Its description in RNAcentral is "partial 16S ribosomal RNA". It matches the Rfam family "Bacterial small subunit ribosomal RNA", at positions 524 to 725 of the family's 1533-position model. The record is from RNAcentral.